Rhincodon typus (whale shark) is the source of this 444-nucleotide long non-coding RNA. RefSeq lists it as uncharacterized. NCBI's taxonomy places the organism in Eukaryota, Metazoa, Chordata, Chondrichthyes, Orectolobiformes, Rhincodontidae. The record is from RefSeq and is a predicted model, not a curated record. The transcript has 2 exons.
CCGGGCCGGGCUGGGCCGCCAUCUUGGGUUUCGGGGAGAGAGAGAGAGAAACAGUAACAACCCCCCCCCCCCCCCGUCUCCAGAGGCCUGUAGAGAGAGGAGAAAGUAGACAGUGAGCUAUUACUGGAGACUUUCUGGUCCCUCCAUGCGGAGUGAGAGAGACAGAGAGGGAGUGGUAACGAAGAAGGGUCCCGACCUGAAACGUCAACUUUCCUGCUCCUCUGAUGCUGCCUGGCCUGCUGUGUUCAUCCAGCUCUACACCUUGUUAUCUCAGACUCCAGCAUCGGCAGUUCCUACUAUCUCAGAGAGGGAGAGGGAUUUUUUUCAGAUGCUUUCUCUUUGCAGGCUGGGUGGUCCCCCAGGCAGACCUUGGUCCACUGGUCAGAAACCGCUCACAACAUUAUUGUUAAGUGUUUGUCCCUGAGAAUAGAACCUUCAACCCCA